This 301-nucleotide ribosomal RNA is filed under the name uncultured bacterium. RNAcentral's name for it is "partial 16S ribosomal RNA". It matches the Rfam family "Bacterial small subunit ribosomal RNA", at positions 509 to 807 of the family's 1533-position model. The record is from RNAcentral.
CAGUAGCCGCGGGAAUACGAAGGGUGCAAGCGUUACUCGGAAUUACUGGGCGUAAAGCGUGCGUAGGUGGUGGUUUAAGUCCGUUGUGAAAGCCCUGGGCCCAACCUGGGAAUUGCAGUGGAUACUGGGUCACUAGAGUGUGGUAGAGGAUAGUGGAAUUUCCGGUGUAGCAGUGAAAUGCGUAGAGAUCGGAAGGAACAUCUGUGGCGAAGGCGACUAUCUGGGCCAACACUGACAUUGAGGCACGAAAGCGUGGGGAGCAAACAGGAUUAGAUACCCGCGUAGUCCCUGUCUCUUAUAC